AGAAAAAUUGCUUACUUCUGUCACGCUUAGGAAAUGGUGGAGCAACCAGAUUUACAUGUAGCUUCCCAGAACUGCUACAUGAAGAAUGCCAUGCUGUCACCCGUUGGUGUCAGCCAGGAGUGAAAUCUGAUGCAGUUGUGCUCAUAGAGCAGGCAGACUGAAAGAGAGGAAGGGACUGACAGGGUAUCACCAACAUCUUCAGUGCAGCUGAGAAACAUCUCAGAAAACACAUUUUGGAAGGACCCUGAGGAAGGAUAUGACAACAUUCUGCAAGAUGUGAAAUCUGGUAGACUGCCUGCUUCCAGUGACCCAGGGACCCUCUCAGGUACAGUGAUGAGUUCGCUUUUAUCAAGGUCUUCAGCAAAUUUCAGGUGAAGAGAUUAAAAUCCUGGAUUGGUAGCUUUGUCCCUUUUGGGAGUUACCUCUUUUGUGUUGUAGUGGACAGCA
This 447-nucleotide long non-coding RNA is filed under the name Numida meleagris (helmeted guineafowl). RNAcentral's name for it is "lncRNA (ENSNMEG00000014670.1)". The record is from RNAcentral. Lineage: Eukaryota; Metazoa; Chordata; Aves; Galliformes; Numididae.